This 497-nucleotide ribosomal RNA is filed under the name uncultured bacterium. Its description in RNAcentral is "partial 16S ribosomal RNA". It matches the Rfam family "Bacterial small subunit ribosomal RNA", at positions 28 to 507 of the family's 1533-position model. The record is from RNAcentral.
GAUGAACGCUGGCGGCGUGCCUAAUACAUGCAAGUCGAGCGAACAGACGAGGAGCUUGCUCCUCUUACGUUAGCGGCGGAUGGGUGAGUAACACGUGGAUAACCUACCUAUAAGACUGGGAUAACUUCGGGAAACCGGAGCUAAUACCGGAUAAUAUAUUGAACCGCAUGGUUCAAUAGUGAAAGACGGUUUUGCUGUCACUUAUAGAUGGAUCCGCGCCGCAUUAGCUAGUUGGUAAGGUAACGGCUUACCAAGGCGACGAUGCGUAGCCGACCUGAGAGGGUGAUCGGCCACACUGGAACUGAGACACCGUCCAGACUCCUACGGGAGGCAGCAGUAGGGAAUCUUCCGCAAUGGGCGAAAGCCUGACGGAGCAACGCCGCGUGAGUGAUGAAGGUCUUCGGAUCGUAAAACUCUGUUAUUAGGGAAGAACAAAUGUGUAAGUAACUAUGCACGUCUUGACGGUACCUAAUCAGAAAGCCACGGCUAACUACGUG